RNAcentral lists this non-coding RNA (29 nucleotides) under Cricetulus griseus (Chinese hamster). The record is from RNAcentral. Lineage: Eukaryota; Metazoa; Chordata; Mammalia; Rodentia; Cricetidae.
AAGAAUGUGGAGGCUUGGACAAAAUUGAA